AUGGAGAACGAGGAAGAGGAAGAUGAAAUCUUUACCACAUUUCAGGGAGGAUAUGAAGGGCAGGAAGAGGUGGAGGAGCAGGAGGAAGAAGAAGAACAUGAGGAAGAGGAGCCAGAGUCUGAGAGGAAGAGCAGUUGGGAUGUCCCAAUUCCAAGUCGAUCACUGGCCAGUCGCAGAGCUUCACUUCCGUGUCCGGAUCAACUGAAUGCGAUGCAUCUGAGCCGUCUGCACGCUGCCACGCUUCAGAGCGGUGAGGCGAGGCCGUGCUCUCACUCCAGCCAUGUUGCCAAUAGCGAGGAGGGAGCACACACCAAGAGAAGCGCAUGUGAACAACACCCACAUGCCAUCCCAACCAUCCCUGAGGUGCACGAGCCUCUGGAGAGAAAGGCUCGGUUUAGGAGCCGCAAUGUCAUGUCUCUGAGUGAUGCAGACAGUUUGUGUCUGAUCUGCCAUGACGACCUACGCAAAGGAGGAGGAGUUAUCAGAGAGCUUCACUGUUCCCACAGCUUCCACAGUGAGUGCAUAGAGGAAUGGCUGUGGACCAAGCAGACCUGUCCCACGUGUCAAAAGCGUGUUGCCAUGCCAGAGCCCCUGUACUGGACAUCUACCAGAGUAAUAGUGCCCUGA
Molecule: long non-coding RNA, 627 nt
Organism: Cyprinus carpio (common carp)
Lineage: Eukaryota; Metazoa; Chordata; Actinopteri; Cypriniformes; Cyprinidae
Source: Ensembl